GCGGGGCUGCGGGGUACGUGAGGACAAUGAAUCCCCGGGGCCUUAUCGAUCCUAACGGGAGCUGUUCCUGUCCUCGCCCGUGGGCUUGGACAAACGGCGCCCACCUACGCUGUAGGUUUCCCGGGAUCGAUCGUCCCACGGCCACUGUGGCUCCGCG
RNAcentral lists this non-coding RNA (157 nucleotides) under Burkholderiales bacterium. Its description in RNAcentral is "6S RNA". It matches the Rfam family "6S / SsrS RNA". Rfam says of the family: E. coli 6S RNA was the first non coding RNA to be sequenced, but its function was unknown until recently. It consists of 184 nucleotides that fold into an extended hairpin structure with a large single-stranded internal bulge. The 6S RNA specifically associates with RNA polymerase holoenzyme containing the sigma70 specificity factor. The record is from RNAcentral. Lineage: Bacteria; Pseudomonadati; Pseudomonadota; Betaproteobacteria; Burkholderiales.